Molecule: long non-coding RNA, 1347 nt
Filed under: Serinus canaria (Common canary)
Lineage: Eukaryota; Metazoa; Chordata; Aves; Passeriformes; Fringillidae
Description: lncRNA (ENSSCAG00000002505.1)
Source: RNAcentral
GUAGGUUAAAGCUAACUGAAUUUCAGUGUUGGAUGAACCAUUCCUUUGCUUGAGUUGCUUUAAAUGUCACCAGCUGCUUUCUUUUUUAAUAAGAAUUACUUUAGUGUUCAGUUUACUUAAUUCAUAGUCUUAUUGAAAGAAGACCCAGCUUUUCAGAUAUUGGAUUGCUUUCUAUUAUGACAAGACAAUUGGGGUUAUUACCAAUUAAUUACCAGUCCUGGUAACUGUUCCUUUUCAAGUUAAUUCUUUGUUGAAGCAUCUGCUGUUGGUUCCUUAAUGUCUCAGAUUCACAUAGUGCGUGGCUGGUUCUCGUGGGAAAAUCUGAGUAGGAAGGGUCAUUACUGACAACAUGGGAAGGAAGUAACUACCCUGAAAUAGGGAUUGUCUGAUGGCUGGGGAUUUUCUGAAGGUCCAGGUGCAUGGUGCUUGUAGAAAUGCUCUGUUGUGCAGGAAUGUGGAAGCUAAUAAUACUCUGCUGAGGAAUUUUGAAUAAUUUAGGUUCUGUGUGAUGAGAUAGUUCCGCUUAUAGCAAUCCCCAUUAUUCUUCCAGUUAGGUUGUCAGCUCAGCAUCCUCACUACAGUAGUUUGUUAUUAAUGUGAAAAAGUUUCUUGCCUUACUGGAGACUGAAUAUGUGUCCAUCUCAGUUCCCAUGAAACUGAAAUGUGUGCCUCCAAUUAUUUAAAGUUUGUGUGUCCUGGCUCUUCCACACUUGAGUGCAAUUCUCUUGAUUUAAACUAAAAGAGGGGGUAUAUCUGAUAAUUUGUAAAAUAACAUCAGCAUGUUUUACAUAGGAAGUCUAAAAAUGUUACCUGGUUCAUGGAAGGUACAGCUGAUCUUUUGUGUCUUAUGCAGAUAAUCAUGUAUGAUUUGAGCUGCUUCCUGGAUGCAAAUUUAAUUUUGUUUAUUCAUCUCUUUCUUUUUAAGCUCACUGAAGAGGAUGUGGAAUGAUCAAAAAUAAUGCUCUCCAGGUCUGUUUUUCCACAUCUUCAUAAGGAUAAGAUUUUCCCAGCAGUUGAUGGUCAACCCAAUGAUCAGCUGAAAUGUUUGAGUGACUCAAGAGAGAUAUCGAUAGUGAUAUGUACUAUAUUUCCAUUUUCAUGGUCUACUCACUGCUUCUAACAUAGGAGCUGAAAGUUGUCACUGGAAGACUAUUUCUGGACUUGAUCAACGGAAUGGUUAAGGUAAUUAAAAUAAGAAAUACAGACAGGGAAAAGAGAGGAAGAGGUUAGUUAUUCUCAGGUUCUUGUAUAUGAGAAAGAUUUUUUUUUUCUUCUUUUUUUCUCUGUUUUGCAUCUGUUAUUUUAGCACAAGAGAAUGUUAAUAAACAUUCUGGCAAUAGUUAUGCA